RNAcentral lists this ribosomal RNA (449 nucleotides) under uncultured bacterium. Its description in RNAcentral is "partial 16S ribosomal RNA". It matches the Rfam family "Bacterial small subunit ribosomal RNA", at positions 29 to 523 of the family's 1533-position model. The record is from RNAcentral.
AACGAACGCUGGCGGCAUGCCUAACACAUGCAAGUCGAACGAGAGCUUCGGCUCUAGUGGCGCACGGGUGCGUAACGCGUGGGAAUCUGCCCUUGGGUUCGGAAUAACAGUUGGAAACGACUGCUAAUACCGGAUGAUGACGUAAGUCCAAAGAUUUAUCGCCCUGGGAUGAGCCCGCGUCGGAUUAGCUAGUUGGUGGGGUAAAGGCUUACCAAGGCGACGAUCCGUAGCUGGUCUGAGAGGAUGAUCAGCCACACUGGGACUGAGACACGGCCCAGACUCCUACGGGAGGCAGCAGUGGGGAAUAUUGGACAAUGGGCGCAAGCCUGAUCCAGCAAUGCCGCGUGAGUGAUGAAGGCCUUAGGGUUGUAAAGCUCUUUUACCUGGGAAGAUAAUGACUGUACCGGGAGAAUAAGCCCCGGCUAACUCCGUGCCAGCAGCCGCAGUAA